GUUUGGGUGGUACAAACGGUUAAUGUGCUUGGCUGCUAACCAAAAGGUUGGUGGUUUGAGUCCACCCAGAGGUA
Transfer RNA from Loxodonta africana (African savanna elephant), 74 nucleotides. It matches the Rfam family "tRNA". Rfam says of the family: Transfer RNA (tRNA) molecules are approximately 80 nucleotides in length. Their secondary structure includes four short double-helical elements and three loops (D, anti-codon, and T loops). Further hydrogen bonds mediate the characteristic L-shaped molecular structure. tRNAs have two regions of fundamental functional importance: the anti-codon, which is responsible for specific mRNA codon recognition, and the 3' end, to which the tRNAs corresponding amino acid is attached (by aminoacyl-tRNA synthetases). tRNAs cope with the degeneracy of the genetic code in two manners: having more than one tRNA (with a specific anti-codon) for a particular amino acid; and 'wobble' base-pairing, i.e. permitting non-standard base-pairing at the 3rd anti-codon position. NCBI's taxonomy places the organism in Eukaryota, Metazoa, Chordata, Mammalia, Proboscidea, Elephantidae. The record is from Rfam.